RNAcentral lists this unclassified non-coding RNA (2291 nucleotides) under Hevea brasiliensis (rubber tree). Lineage: Eukaryota; Viridiplantae; Streptophyta; Magnoliopsida; Malpighiales; Euphorbiaceae. The record is from RNAcentral.
UGCGAUUGUGUCGUGCCCGCUCCUUCAUCGAUCGACAAUGCUAAGAGCACCCUUGUCUUUGUAAUGACAACUCAUGUAAAAAACAUCCAUAGCUUGUCCCACUCUGCUUUGCCGUGCCAGUGUGGUCUCUGGUUCUUGUUUGUACUCCAGGAAAAAAAGCUUCAUUUUUUCUUUUCUUUUCAACAAGAAAAGUUUGGUUGCUAACAGUAUAAUAAUGGGAUGUUGCUAAAAUGCACCAUCUCUGCUUUGGAUGCUUCUCUUGCUCUCGGGUUUCGAGCUUGACCCCUCCAUCUUCCUCUCUUUAAUGCCUUUGUAAAAGCAUAGAUAUUACAGGUAUGCACUUGGAAACGAGUUGAGAGAGUUACGUUGUUUUUGUUGUUUUCGUUGUUUUCCUCUCUCGAAUCAUUUUGGGGUUUUUUAUACGUAGAUGAUAAUCAUUCCUAUGUUGAUGUUUUCGAAACCAAGUGUGGAAUAAUGGGUAGUCGUUCCUUUUCCUAAUAAGAAAAGAAAAGAAAAGAAAUAAAGGAAAGACGGUACUGGUUCAAGUAGUUGUUUUAUUUAAUAUUUGCAGCUCUAAGAAAAUAAAAUGGAAGAACAUUGGGCUUCCCCCCUGUCUGUCUGCCUGUCUCUGCCAGUUUCCCUGUCAGUGACGUUUUCUUUCUUAUCUUGUUAUUUUUAAAAAAAAUCUUUUUUUAUCGUUUUUCAUUUUUAGAGCUCAAGGCAUCUCGUGGAGAUUCUUCUUAGUUGAGAUCCAUUUGGAUUUUAUUUUUUUUCAAAGACGAUCAAUUUUUUUUUUGGGUUCUUGGGUUGCAGCCUUGUUUGUUUCUGAGCUAUGGAGAGUUUGAAGAUGGGUACUCUUUUAAUAAGCUUUUCCUUUCUUGAUGAGGCCUGAAAAUCAGGAAGGAUAGCAGAGUCAUGAUUUGGGGGUGAAAGCCGUGUUCUUUGGGUUAAUCAGCGAUUUUAUCUGCAAGCAGCUUUUUGCAUAUGUAUGUAUUGGCAUUAUCUGAAAUUGGCUAUUGUUGUGUAUUGCUAAUCUCUCCUUUCUUGAGCUUUUAAAGAAAUUGCAAGGAGUAUAGCUAGUAGGCUACGGACUGGAUAUCACUUUUUUAACAGCACUAAACUUGAGUAAUUUACUGAAAAAGCAUAUUCACUUGUAUAUUCUAUCUGCAAUCUUAGUAGUUUCAUAGUUGUGAGACUUUUAAAUCCAGUGUUCUUUCUUGAUGUGGUUUUAUUUCUUCUUUAAGUCUUUGAAGUCAAGGAAACAAUGCAUCAUGUACGAGAACUGCAAGUUUUAGGAUUGUCCUCUUCUGGAUGUAUGUGAUUAAUUGAGCUUAGGCUAUAAUUUUGCACCAGGGAGGAAUUUGGAUAGAUGCACUCUUUUUAAUAUUAUGUUAAUCUUUCUGACAUAGAAGUACGAGGAAUUGAAACUAUCUUGGAUUUGCUCGCUCUCUUAUGCCUUCAAGUUAAACUCAAUUCUUUUGACUGUGGAAGAAAUGGGUUGUGUAGCAUCAAAGAUUCAAAAGGAAGAGAGGGUGCAAAUUUGCAGGGAGAGAAAGAGGCUAAUGAAACAAUUGGUAGUUUUUCGAGGAGAAUUUGCAGAUGCCCAAUUGGCUUAUUUGAGAGCACUGAAGAAUACUGGUGUAACACUUAGGCAAUUCACUGAAUCAGAAUCUUUAGAGCUUGAAAAUACCUCUAAUGGCAAGGCAUUGCCUUCUUCCCCUCCUCUUCCUCUGCCUCCUUCCCCUCCACCUCCUCCUCCUUUUAGCCCUGAUUUAAGAGGGUCCAUUGAUAAUCAGAAAGAAGAAAUUGAUCAAGAAGAAGGUGUAAAAAUUGAUGAGGAUGAUUGCUAUACCCAAUCACAUCCAAUUUGUAGUUUCUCAUGGAAUCUUUUGGAAUCAGAAUCCAUUGAGCAGCCUUCCCCACAACAUUGGGAGAAAAACAAAAUAGUAGAACCAGCAGUAGAUGAGGAAAAUUGGGCAGAGGCUAAGGCAGAAUUUGAGGAAGAAGAUUGGGAAGAUGAGAAUGCUGGGAAUGUUCAUUCUAAUUUACUUCCCCAGAUGCAGCAGCGACAGCAGCCUGUUAAAUUGAUUGAUGAUGACUCAUCGAUGGUGAGCUGUUGUAGUAAAGAUACUGCAGACGUGGCUAUGGUAAAGUGGAGAAGCAAGAUGACCUUGGAGGGUAUUGUUAAGGAGUUAGAUGAUUAUUUCCUUAAAGCAUCAGCUGGUGGAAAGGAAAUAGCUGUUCUCAUGGACAUUUUCAAAGGACACACACUUCUAUCUCAGAAUUCCAAG